AAAAAAUAAAUAAAAAAGCAGAGAAAGAAAAAAUCAGCCAAAGUGAAAUAAAGUGGAAUUGUGCAUAAUCAGUGUUGGGGUAACGCAUUACAAGUAACGAGAGUUACGUAAUCAGAUUACUUUUUUGAGUAACUGCUACAGUAACACAUUACUUUAAAUUUACAACAAAAUAUCUGAGUUACUUUUUUAAAUAAGUAACGGAAGUACUUUGUUUUCCCAUUUAUAGUCUGACACCUCUCCUGUCCUCGUGUUGAAAGAAAUCGUGAGAAAGGUGCAUCCUAUUUUCUGCAAUCCAAAAUGGCAGCACAGCUAAAAAGUUUGUUUGAGCUGCGCCCUCUACCGUACAAGCGCAGAUUUGCAUUUCCUUCAGUGUUAAACUUAUUCAUUUCACUUUUGGUGUGAAAGAGCCUUUACAUUUGCCAAAAAUAGAACUCUUUUUUGUUGUUGUUGUUGUUAUUAAAAAACACAAGCAAGCCCAAUGAGAAAAAGUACCGAAAGUAGUGCAACACAUUACUUUCCAUAAAAAGUAACUAAGUAAUGCAAUUAGUUACUUUUUUAGGGAGUAACGCAAUAUUGUAACACAUUACUUUUAAGAGUAACUGGUUAUAAUCACAUUUUUAAAGAAAUAUAACAGAAAUCAAUUAAUAUCGUAGUUGUAAAUGUGAGCCUUUUGUGUUGCAGGUUGCAUCCUUUUGCUUGUAGUUCAACUGAGUUCAAUGCAAAGAGCUUCCUUACAAAAGUGCAACUGCUGCGUUAUCAAUUUAUCCCUUGAAUAUGCCCUAAGUGCUUUGUAAUGGAUACUGAAAGAGACCAGGGAGGAAGGAGAAAUCGGAGAUUGAUACAAUGAGCAACAUCAAUGAUGAUUUGUGGCUCAUUCACAUGAUGCCAAAUGCCAGACUGUGUUCAUUAGUGUCUUUAACAUUAAUACUAUUUUUAGGCUUUAUCAUCUAAUGGCUCUGGAACACGGCUUGGACAUUCUCCAUCUUGAAGUGGAUUCUCUGCAUGUGCUGACAUGUGAUAUCACAGUUAAUAUAACAGAAGCUGCAUCAAACCCUCUCAAAACCUUUUCUACAUCACAAAGAUGAAAUCCCUUAUCUGUAAUUGACUAAAUCUAGCUCUAAUAAUCACUUUAAUAACAUAAUCCUGAUUGGACAAGAGGAUUAGUCCAUGUCUGCGACGUUAAAUCUUGGGGUCUGUGAUCUCCUUAUGACAUGCUGAUUAGCUCCACUUACAUGUAAAUUAGAUUGUCCGUACACAUUACAUAUAUACACACAUUUACGCUACUGUUUAAAAGGUUGCAAUCUGUAAAUUUAUUUAUUUAUUUAUUGUAGAUGUGUGUUCUUUUCUUCCCUGUGCUUAAAGAUUCAGGAGGUGUUGGUUGGUUAUGAACACAGUUUGCUGAAGAUGUAGCUGGUAUGCCGUUUGUAUGACUCCCACACAGCAGUGAGAGAGCAUAGAUGGAGAUGGAUAAUAUGGAAGAUCCCAGCGGAGGCUCUAGCAGUCUGGAGGAGCUGCAAUCUGGCAAGAGGUGAGAAUAAGAGCGGCCCGUUCCACCCUCACUCCCACUGCUGCAGCGUUCAACACAGACACCUCAUCACCAUCAACAUAACUCACUGAAUCUCGCUUCACUAAAAGAUCCGUUUCCUACAUUGCCAAGAAAGGACAAAACAGUUCUGAAUUUUGCAUCCUUCUAAAUGUGAUGAUAAAGAGCCGACUGGGUUAAGAGUGCAUCCUCUGCGCUUUAUUCACAUCUCUCUCAAAAGGGAUGCGACAAACACUGCAAAAUAUUCAACUGCUCAUAUGUGGACUAUUCGGAUUCAAUUAAGAGCGCUGUGAUAAGGUCUGGCUUCCUGCUGCUCUAAUCUGAACGUCAGCAGAGCAGAACUUCUGCAGUCACGCUGAGUGCUUUUCUAGUCUGAGUGCAGUCAGGUUCUGCUCCCCACCUUCAUCCACUUCUAACUGUCACAGUAUUUUUCCUUCACUGCGUGUCGGCCCAGUCACAUCCAUCAAAAACUCAGUCUGGUUAGCGUUACAUCCCAGUGGACGUCCCACUGUGAGGUGCCGUGCUUGGCUGUCACUUACAGCAGGACUCUGGCACAUCUGUGUUACUGAUCACAGAUCUCUAAUGUGCUCCUGCUUACAGCUCAGGAAUGAUAUUUUAUGCUGUUUAUCUGCAGUUUCUUGUAUAGUGAAAAGUGUUUACUCUAUAUUUAUUGACUGGCGUGAAUUUACAACUGCAGCAUGGUAUUUCAUUGCAAAAUAUAACAUUUCAUUUAAUAUACAGUACUCUUCCAUUCAAAAGUUUGGGAUGAGAAAAACUUUUCAUGCUUUUGAAGGAAGAGUCUUAUGCUCACCAUGGCUACAUUUAUUUGAUCAAAAAUACAGUAAAACAGCAAUAUUGUGAACUAUUAUUACAAUUUAAAAUAACUUUUCUAUUUUAAUAUAUUUUAAAAGGUAAUUUAUUCCUUGACAAAGCUGAGUUUUCAGCAUCAUUACUCCAGUCUUCAGUGUCACAUGAUCCUUCGGAAAUCAUUUUGAUAUGAUGAUUUGCUGCUCAAGAAACAUUUCUUAUUAUUUUUACUUGGAAAUGGAUGUGCUGCUUAAUCAAGUGUGGAAGUUUUUUUUUUUUUUUUCAGGACACUUUCAUGAACAAUGUUUGGAAGAAUGGCAUUUAUUUGAAAUAGAAAACUUUUGUAACAUUAUAA
Molecule: long non-coding RNA, 2705 nt
Organism: Ctenopharyngodon idella (grass carp)
Lineage: Eukaryota; Metazoa; Chordata; Actinopteri; Cypriniformes; Xenocyprididae
Exons: 2
Source: RefSeq, a predicted model, not a curated record